RNAcentral lists this ribosomal RNA (253 nucleotides) under uncultured bacterium. Its description in RNAcentral is "partial 16S ribosomal RNA". It matches the Rfam family "Bacterial small subunit ribosomal RNA", at positions 524 to 776 of the family's 1533-position model. The record is from RNAcentral.
UACGAAUGGGGCAAGCGUUGUUCGGAAUCACCGGGCUUAAAGCGUGCGCAGGCGGUCAUGAAAGUCAGAAGUGAAAUCCCAGGGCUCAACCCUGGAAUUGCUUUUGAAACUCCAUGACUAGAAUACUGGAGAGGUUAGCAGAAUUCCGAGUGUAGAGGUGAAAUUCGCAGAUAUUCGGAGGAAUACCAAUGGCGAAGGCAGCUAACUGGACAGUUAUUGACGCUCAGGCACGAAAGCGUGGGGAGCAAACAGG